This 27-nucleotide small RNA is filed under the name Bombyx mori (domestic silkworm). Its description in RNAcentral is "ovarian small RNA-24055". The record is from RNAcentral. Lineage: Eukaryota; Metazoa; Arthropoda; Insecta; Lepidoptera; Bombycidae.
UAUGUUAUGGCCGACGUCACCGAUAUG